Molecule: ribosomal RNA, 443 nt
Filed under: uncultured bacterium
Lineage: Bacteria
Description: partial 16S ribosomal RNA
Rfam family: Bacterial small subunit ribosomal RNA
Source: RNAcentral
CCUACGGGAGGCAGCAGUGGGGAAUAUUGGGCAAUGGGCGCAAGCCUGACCCAGCAACGCCGCGUGAAGGAAGAAGGCUUUCGGGUUGUAAACUUCUUUUCUCAGGGACGAAGCAAGUGACGGUACCUGAGGAAUAAGCCACGGCUAACUACGUGCCAGCAGCCGCGGUAAUACGUAGGUGGCAAGCGUUAUCCGGGUUUACUGGGUGUAAAGGGCGUGUAGGGGGGAAAGCAAGUCAGAUGUGAAAACCAUGGGCUCAACCUGUGGCCUGCAUUUGAAACUGUUUUUCUUGAGUACUGGAGAGGCAGACGGAAUUCCUAGUGUAGCGGUGAAAUGCGUAGAGAUUAGGAGGAACACCAGUGGCGAAGGCGGUCUGCUGGACAGCAACUGACGCUGAGGCGCGAAAGCGUGGGGAGCAAACAGGAUUAGAUACCCUGGUAGUC